UGUUCGUAUUGAUAACGACGCGGAUCGCUCUCUCCCCGUUUCCACUGCAAUACGGCAUACCAAAUGGCUGUCCGCGAAGUUGGUGAGUAGCGGGCCGCGGCGGCGGUCUAACCAGGAAAUGAACAAACGUUAAUGUGCCUGUUAUAAGAUAUAAUUUAUAAUUGGCACGCCGCGAUUCAAAGUCCGAUACGAUGUUGGUCGUUUAUAACUGCUUAUCGUUUUUGUUGUGCAAUGAUUCAACGACGUAGGUACGGACAAAUGUACGUCGUUGUCGAAUAUUUUGACAACGGUUCAAUCGUCAACGCUACCGAUAGACACAUUAUUCGUGUAUACGUGGAUCUACACUAGCCUACACUACUUCCACAACAUUUUUUUCCGCGAUCACUUCCGUCGCUGCCGAAGUCCGGAAUUGCAUCUAUAUUCAUCACCAUCAACAACAAUAUCAUUUUCAGUCGGCCAGUUAUAUCAUGGGCGUAUAAAGGAUUUUCUUGAGGAGGGGGAUAUCAAAAUUUUCUUUAGUGCUGUUGCAACUUUUUGUUGGUUACUCCAUGUAAGUUUCAAAGGCUUCAAAGGCUUCAAAGGCUUCAAAGGCUCAACAUGACUUUCCCAGCUGACGCUUGAACUUUAAACUUCUAUGAACAUGGUGAAGUCUUAUGACGAAACUCCAUUGACUGUCUUUUGUUUCUGGGUCAUAAUUAUGUACCAAAGAUUCAUUUUUGAUAACAAUAAUAUUUAAAAAAAUUUUGUUUUUCACUAUCAUAACGCAAAAGAAGUUGGGAAAGUAUUUCGUCAAUUUGUCUUUCAGUAACAUCAUAGAUUCGCUAAUUAACGAUAUGAGACUGGCGUCUGUCUACAUCUCGCUCUGCAGUUCGUGGGAACAUAGUUAAUAUAUUUUGGUCAACUUGAGUUUUCCACAGAGUUAAUUUUUCAUUAAAAGCCAUAAUUUUGUCUGAUGAUAUUAGAAUAUUUUCGUUACGGCCUUGCAUGCUUGUACUUUAUUUAUUCAAAAGUUCAAAAAUAUCAGUUAAAAAAGAAACUUUUGUCCACCACUUUUCAUCUCCAAGAAACUCAUAUUUCGAUUCUUCUAUUGUUAAAAAUACAAUUAUUAUAUUUCUUCACUCAAAUCAUAAGAACGUGAUAUUACCCGGCCUCUUGAUAACUAUCUUAUUGUACUGUGAAAAAGUAAUUUUGAGUUAUCUGAAUCCAUACCUUCACACAUUUUUUUAAAUAACUUUGACUUUAGUGGACUAUUUUUAAUAUAAUUUAUCACUUUUACAACUUGAUCAAAAACUUACUUUAAAUCACCUACCAAUGAUUUUGUCACAAGGGCUUCUCGAUGUAGAAAACAAUGAGUAAAAAUAAUAUUUUCAUUUUUUUUCUUGGCAAAAGAAAUAAAGCCUUUGACUGAGCCAGUCAUCACGGGAGCGCAGUCGGUACAUACUCCAAUACAUUUAUCCCAUGGUAAAUUGGCAAAUUUCAGAUAAUGGUCCACUAUUUCGAUAUAUUGAUAUAUAUAUAUAUAUCAAUAAUCACUUGCCAUUUGUUUUUAAAAUCAUCCCAAAUCGUUGUAUAAGUUGUAACUCUUAAUUUUUUAUAUCAGCACUUAUUUUCACGUUUUUGAAAAAUCUACGAGAAGUAUUACUAUGAUUAGUCGUUCAUUUGUCUAUAUUAUGAAAAAACAAAAUUUAAUAUUAAAAAUUAUAAUCUAAAAUUGAAUGUACUCAUAAUAAAUAGUACCUUUCAAAACUAUAUCUCCAAAAAGACUAGUUUCUGUCUAAAUCGAUCUUGUAUACAUUUUAUUAUUUUUGCAUAAAUAAUUUUAUCUUUAGCUGACCGAACCUAUUCACAAAUAACACAUUUGGAAGUCAUAAAACGCAUGUUUUUCAUUUAUACUAAAUAGCCAUUUCUCAUUGUAGUCGUUAGUCAUUAUACUAACUUGUUAUUUUUUUAACUCCAAUCUAUAUAAAAUGUGUAAUAGACAUUCGAAAAUUCGUAUAUACGCAUGAAGUGUUUACAGCCCAAAGUUGUAAUACUCAGGUUGUACACUUACAUUUUUUGCUAGGGUAAUAUUUAUAUAUUUUGGAGAACACUUACAGAUAUAGCAUUUUUGACUUAAUGAACUAUCUAUUGAAUUUUAAACCUAAAAUAUGUUUAAAAAUCGUUUGUUAAUUUUCGUGGGUUGCAAUACUAUGUCUAUAAUUCUAGACUUAACUAAAAUGUGAGUAAUAAUUGUAAUAAAAGUUUGUGAAACUUACUUUUCCGUCUAUCAUAGUGAACAUUAAUGUGCUCUGUACUAGAAAUUGAAUGUAAUUUUUAAAAAUUUGAGUUAGAAUCAACAACUUAAUUUCUUCUUCGACAGCAUUUACUUUUUUUAAUGUCGACUCAAUAGUUUCCUUUUUAAAAUCGAAAAUUAACGGAUGAGAGUAACAGGUUGACGAAAGACGGAGAUUUCUUCAUAAAACUACAUUUCUAGAAUUGUCUAUCUUUGUACAUUUCAGCUGUAAAGGAACCAGUGAAAACCUAAAAAUACCGGAGUCAUCUAAGUCAUUAGAUGCAUGAAAAAUUUGCUUAUAUCUAGAUCGACUAAUGCUUCCAUCAUAUUCCCAUUAAAUAAUAUUUCAAAAUUAUUCACCGUUAAAUCUAUGAUUUAUAUAUCCGAAAUUGAAAAUAUUCUCUAGAUAGUGUGCUUAACAAGGUGCUGCAAUUUAAUUUUAAAAGAAUAUUUUAUAAUUUGAAUAUUUGGUUGAUAGCAUUUUUUUUUUUUUUUGGCCGUUAAAACAGGAUCUAGGACUUUUCGGCGCGGCCGUUUCGGCGAUAGAUAUUUUCGGCGAUGCCGUUUCGGCGUUGUGGGCCUGUUGACAUUUAUUUGUAAUUUUUGAAAUUUUAGAAGAAAUACUUAUUUUACAUUAAAUAAUAUUGUAAAAUAACAUUUUAUAUAUAUAUAUAUAUAUACUUAGUUAUUUUGAUAGUUCAA
RNAcentral lists this long non-coding RNA (2974 nucleotides) under Sipha flava (yellow sugarcane aphid). RNAcentral's name for it is "uncharacterized LOC112691752". The record is from RNAcentral. Lineage: Eukaryota; Metazoa; Arthropoda; Insecta; Hemiptera; Aphididae.